Molecule: small RNA, 29 nt
Filed under: Bombyx mori (domestic silkworm)
Lineage: Eukaryota; Metazoa; Arthropoda; Insecta; Lepidoptera; Bombycidae
Description: ovarian small RNA-17668
Source: RNAcentral
GUAUCCGUGACCUGGCCCCCUAAGAGCUA